GCCCGCUUAGCUCAGCGGUAGAGCGUUGGUCUCAUAUGAUUCAUAUGAUUUAGCCCCAGGCUAGAGAUAUCCAAAGGUCGAGAGUUCGAGACUCCCAGCAGGCA
RNAcentral lists this transfer RNA (104 nucleotides) under Dactylonectria macrodidyma. Its description in RNAcentral is "Ilyonectria macrodidyma tRNA". It matches the Rfam family "tRNA". From Rfam's summary of the family: Transfer RNA (tRNA) molecules are approximately 80 nucleotides in length. The record is from Rfam by way of RNAcentral. RNAcentral also lists the same sequence under 1 other name. Lineage: Eukaryota; Fungi; Ascomycota; Sordariomycetes; Hypocreales; Nectriaceae.